CUCAUGCCUUACAACGAAGUAUUGAGGAGGUGUUAUCACCUCAGGUUUUCCGUUUGUAAUACAAUGGAAAUAUAUCUAAAUCAGAUAAGAAAAGUAUAUUUUAACUGGGGGUGGGCAUAUUUAAAUUAACCUUAACCCUACUACACAACUCUCUCAUGGAUAACAUUUCGGUUCGGCUGUUGACGUAUCGUGGUGAGCUCACGUCAUCCCAUGUACAACACUUUUAUAAACAUGCAGGCAGUGUGUCCUUAUUGUGUCACUAUGUUAAUCCGGCCAGGGGUUUGAUCGUCUCAGAUGUAAACAUUGAUCAGUGAAUUGGAGCGCGCGGUCUCUUUAAAGACCGCACCUGCGCAACGAGCCGCUGCUGCUGAUGCUGCAGUGGCUGGGUUAUUUUCGGUAAAACAACCGAGGGGUUACUUUCGUUCAGACAUACUGGGCCUCCGUGCAAUCACAACGCCGCGACCUCCAUUCAGACUUCUUAUAAUCAGGAUUUAAAAAUAGGUGUGUCCCUGGAAUCCGAGAAACGCUGCGCGUCUUUGCGCAACCCCAUUUAAGGAAUAUUUAAAUGCAUGAUAGGAGGGCUACAUCAAUGAUAAUUGUUUACUAACGCAGGGUUGUGUCGAGUGUGGACAGGAAACGUGGUGGAGACGUGUAUGACCUGCUCUUCCUUCUACCAAUAACUGAGCACUGUAAGCUAGGCGGUGAAAUGUCUGUCUAUCCUCAUUGAAAAGUGUCAAUUCUCCCAUAUGUUCUGCUUAUGCAUUUGAAAAAGAAAAACGUAAUAAUUAAUCAAACACUGAAAAAUCGGCAAAACAAUUGAUAUGUUUAUAUUUUGAAUGCGUCACCAAUGUCCCCUUUUACAUAUUGACCCAACAUUGAAGGCUUUAUUUGUCUCGGAAUGAACAUGGCUGCGGUAACCAUGGCAAUGUGGGGAUUGGAAUGUUAACCCCAGACCAGGGAGGUGUUCCGAGGAGCUCAAGCAGUGUGCGGAGCGGCUCCAAUAGACUAAGACUAGAGCGGCCCUCUGCAGUAUCCCAACACAAACCAGUACACUACCUACAGGAUGGACCUCAGACUGGCCAGUGCUGUGCUUCCCCUGGGCCUUCUGCUGCUCAUCAUCACACCGGGCACUUCAGCAGGGCCGGUGGGGGACGGGACGCUUCCUAUCAGGGUGUCUGUGGAGGGCCGCGGGCUGUCCAGCGAGGCUACGGGCUCCUACUCUGGCUCAGUGGUGGAGGGAGGGGUUCUGCUGGGGGCCCUCGAGACUGCAGCAGACGGAGCCGUCCUUUAGGUUCACGCUGAAGGAGGACCCCGACCACGGCCUGUUCCUGGAGAGCGUCAACGGAGUGGCGGGCAGCGGGCAGGCCCAGUCCUACUGGGAGCUGCUGUCGGCGGGCGCGCCAGGGGAACCCGCCCGGCUGGAUGCGGGUAUCGGCUGCUACAAGCCCAAAGCUGGUGAACACAUAAUUCUGCGUCUGAGCACCUGGUCCAAAGACUUAUAAACUAAUUCAUGGAUUGGGUUUGAUUUCAGUCUUUCAAGAAUAUAAGCAUAAAAUACUGUAUUUUUGAAUCUGCAAUAUAGCAUGCUGCACACAAGGAGAACAUGGACUCUGCUCGACUCAUGACCGCUUUAGACACGUGACCGUUGGGACUCUGCUUACUAGCGGCCUCUAGUGGCCCACAGGAGCUAUAGCGCUGAUGAUCAGACAAACAAAAUACGCUUACAGACAUAACAGACAAAUUACAGACAAUGAAAUAGAUUGUGUUUUGGGGAAUUUAGGUAAAUUAAAAAGCCUGGGUGUGUAUUUAAAUAAAAGCAUGCAAUGAAUAAAUGAUUACACAACAUAAACAUGACGUCAUUUAAUUGUCUUUUGCAUAUCUAAAACAUAUCUAACAUCAUAAUAAUAAUAAAAAAGCAAGAAAUGUCUGUCUCACAGCAGAAUAAUAAAUAUCUACAUAUCUGCAAAUAUCUCAUAGUGUCAAUGAUGUUUUAUGAGUUUCUUCUUAGUAAAAUGUUCCUAAUUACUAGCAUUUAUUAUAUGACGCUAUUGCUUUUAUUAUUAUAUUGUUUGCAUGCAUAGAACUGGUAGAAUCCGAAAGGGAUGUCAGUCCAUCAAAGCUAUCCUACAGAUUAUAUCUAAGAUUCAUGUUUUGAUUGUCAAUUAUUCAUUUCAUAAAUGUUCUUAGUCAACCUAAACAAUUCAGACCACAAAUCAAUGAAAUAAGUUUGUUCAAAACCUUCA
This is a long non-coding RNA of Gadus macrocephalus (Pacific cod), 2243 nucleotides long. RefSeq lists it as uncharacterized. The record is from RefSeq and is a predicted model, not a curated record. NCBI's taxonomy places the organism in Eukaryota, Metazoa, Chordata, Actinopteri, Gadiformes, Gadidae. The transcript is spliced from 4 exons.